AAGAUGUUAGUAAAAAUUACAAAGCCUUGUCAUGACUUAAUUGUUAGCUAACACAUCUUG
RNAcentral lists this transfer RNA (60 nucleotides) under Pseudoeurycea firscheini (Firschein's false brook salamander). RNAcentral's name for it is "tRNA-Asp". Lineage: Eukaryota; Metazoa; Chordata; Amphibia; Caudata; Plethodontidae. The record is from RNAcentral.